RNA transcript from Wyeomyia smithii (pitcher-plant mosquito), 3103 nucleotides. It is a transcript of the gene named organic cation transporter protein, with no coding region annotated. Lineage: Eukaryota; Metazoa; Arthropoda; Insecta; Diptera; Culicidae. The record is from RefSeq and is a predicted model, not a curated record. The transcript is spliced from 7 exons.
UAGCAGCAGAAUCGUUUACUUGAGUAGUAGCAGAGACCAGCCGUCAAUCAGUAGCUGACCAGCGCUCGUAGUAACGUGAUUGUAUUAUUUCGUGUGAAGUGAAAACACUCGUGCGGUUACAAUACGGUAAAAUAAUAUCAACAGAACUAUGCCCAAGUAAAAUCCGAAUCGCAUUGAUAACUGUUCCAUUGACUGGACGACGAAUAGAUUAACCUCGUAACCGAUGGCGUUAGCAGUGUUUCCGACGCCAGACUGUGAUUAAAGCAAUAGUGUAGUGUCCGGUGUCGUGAUAAGUUUACCAAUAUUAACAGGACAACAACAUCGCUAACGCUGAGCUGAUAAGGAAAAAUCAUGCUGAAAACAGCAGCCCUUCACCAAUCCGGGAUCGACUAAGUUCAUCUUCAGCUGGCAUUAUAAUUGAAGCCUUCGCUGUGUGUCUGAACCACGGAAUAUAUUCAAGACCUUAUCGGCUUGCACUGAAUGUUAAGCAGUAUAAUACGCGCUGAUAAAAACUUGGCCAUUGGCCUUAAACAUAUCCAGCAUUGCGUGCGAAGCUGUUUUGUCGAGUCUGAUUUCCGAGGACAAAAUUAGCCUGCGAAUCAACACAUUAGAAACAUCAUCUGUUGUGGUGGCGCUAUUAGCGACUGCAAAUUUUCAACAGUGCAAGCUCUAGUGUGGACAGCUGGGCGCCACAAAAUCACUGCGCGAAGAUGAGUGGCGACAAAGUGAGAAAGGAUGCCUCACAGGUGGAAAACGGAACUUUAGCAGCUACUGACGAGAGUCAGCAUUCGAACGGUGGGAAAAUUGUGAUCCGUUCGUCUCCAGGCGAUCUGAAGCAGGUUGUCUUGGAUGGGCUGGAGAAAAAGGGAGACCGCGGCAUUUGGUUAUGGACUCUCUUCAUACUGUGCCUUACACCGAACAUACUCAAUGGUUUCCACGUGUCGUCCUAUGUUUUUCUGGGUAAGAUGCCCGAAAACUACUACUGCGUGGUGCCGGAUCUAAUGCAGAAAGGUUGGACACACGACGAGAUUCGGAAUAUUUCCACCGUUGGCGGCGUGAACCAAAACGGAACAUGUACAAUUCUGAACUGGGACUACAGCCAUCUGGCGGAGAUGAAUUACGUAGACGCAAUCGCUUAUGUUUCCCAACAGCAGCGACCCGGUCUGGUGUCAUGUCUUGGCACGCCGGGUUUCGAAAUGCACUACGAACAGCGACCGGGAGCUUCAAUUGUCCCCGAGUGGAAUUUGAUCUGCGAGCGGACCGCUUUGAGAUCCACUGUACAGGUGGCCCUAUCGGUUGGAAAGUUUUUCGGUGCUUCCACCUUUGGUGUUCUGUCGGACAAGUAUGGGCGAAAAAGUAGCUUUACGGUUGCCGCUCUGCUGUACGUUGUGGCCAGCUUGCUUACGACAUUUUCUCCGUACUACAUUCUGUUACUGCUGGGUCGUAUCGGAUUGGGUGCGUCAGCUUCGGGCGUAUUCUAUCCAGCGUUUGCAUUACUGACGGAGAACAUAGGCGUUCGGCACCGCUCGUGGAUGAGCAUCGCUUUCAAUUUUUCCUAUCCAAUAGGAAUGUUGAUUCUUGCGCUGGCAGCUUACUAUAUAGACCCGUGGCGUGAUUUAUCCCUAGCUCUAACCAUUCCUUCCUUCCUGCUGGUCAUUCAUCUCUAUUUUCUUGUCGAAUCACCUCGUUGGUUGCUGAGCAAGGGUCGGGAACGUCGUGCUUAUCGCAUGGUCUUUGGCCGCAAAGCUCCUCAAGAACUGUGUGAUAGUGAUAGGGAGCUAAGUGCAGAAGAGGUGUCAGCAGCAGCUGCUAAAAAUGUAGAUGCACCGAAAAUUCCGUUGGGUGUCCGCAUCAAACAAACAUUCAGCGAGUUCACGAAACUAUACGGAACACCAAAGCUUUGCCGCCGAGCCUUGAUUUGCCACUUCACCUGGUGCGUAACAUCACUCUGCUAUUACGUGACAGCGCUUAAUGCAGAUAAUUUCGCAGCCAACAGGAAUGUUUACGUUGCUACCACGGGCUCUGUUGAUAUUUUGGCUUAUAUUGUAUCGAUGAUAGUGCUAGCCUACUUUGGCCGUAAGAGCACUUCAUUUUGUUUCUUCUUAUAUGCCGGUAUUUGUCUGCUGGUAGUCCUAGCAAUACCUAAAGAAAGCACUGUCGUCCUGGUCACCCUAGCUAUGCUAGGACGGUUGGGAAUUACAGCGGUUUACGCAGUAGUGACUCUACAUACGGCCGAGCUGUUUCCUACGGAAAUUCGUAACACUGCCCUUGGCAUCUGCUCGACGAUGGCCCACGUGGGUUCGAUAGCUGCACCCUACAUCGUUGAUCUACUCGGUCAACUGGCCUGGUGGAUUCCAACCACUAUAUGUGGUAUCGCGGUCCUGAUUGCCGGUGUCUGCACCUUGCUGCACCCGGAAACUAGGGAUGCGGCGCUAAAGGACCACGCGAAACAGGAAGCAGAUGCAAUAGGCGACAAGGAACCAAUGAAGCAGUAGCAUUUAGUGGAGGUAUGCUUUUCUAACUGCUAAAAAUGGCGUGGAACUGAAAAUCGAAACGAGAAAUCGAAAGUUUGUAAUCACACAAAUGUACAUGAAAACUAAAAGAUUAGUAAAGCAAGUCACACACUUGUGCAAUACCUCACUUGCACUGAGCUCCAAGGUAAAACUGAUGCGUUCCUAAGAGAAGCUGAAGUCGCGUCUUGAGACAGCCACACCCAGUAUCAUGCGAAAUUAAUUUGAGCACCGUGUAAGAUGUUUCUAUCAAGUGGAGAGGAUAGCUGACAUUGACCAACUAGAGCGCUAUUGGAAUCUCCAAGUCAAGUUACACUAGCUCGAUCAUACAUGCGUACUCAACUAGAUUAAAGCAUCCAAUUGACAAGAUCUAUUCUAUCAGCAUCGGCACAAAACAUUCCAUGAUUCCCUCCUUCGCAGGACUUUUGACCAAGUUAUCGAUGUCUCGUUCGAAGAACGUAUCAAAACUGUGACAUUCAUCUUCCCGCAUAAUUUUGAUUGAAUUAUAGUAAUGAAAGUGACAUGUCAAUCAUUUCAUUGAGCGAAUGUUUGUGAUUAUGUUUUAAGAAUUUAAUAAACGACUAACGAACUAA